This 74-nucleotide transfer RNA is filed under the name endosymbiont DhMRE of Dentiscutata heterogama. RNAcentral's name for it is "tRNA-Pro". It matches the Rfam family "tRNA". From Rfam's summary of the family: Transfer RNA (tRNA) molecules are approximately 80 nucleotides in length. Lineage: Bacteria; Bacillati; Mycoplasmatota; Mollicutes; Mycoplasmatales. The record is from RNAcentral.
CGGGAAAUAGUCGAGUGAUAAGAUGCAUGAUUUGGGUUCAUGUGACGGGAGUUUGAUUCUCUCUUUCCCGACCA